This 253-nucleotide ribosomal RNA is filed under the name uncultured bacterium. RNAcentral describes it as "partial 16S ribosomal RNA". It matches the Rfam family "Bacterial small subunit ribosomal RNA", at positions 524 to 776 of the family's 1533-position model. The record is from RNAcentral.
UACGUAGGGGGCAAGCGUUGUCCGGAUUUAUUGGGCGUAAAGAGCGUGUAGGCGGCCACACAGGUCUGCUGUGAAAACUCGAGGCUCAACCUCGAGCUGUCGGUGAAAACCGUGUGGCUAGAGUCCGGAAGAGGAGAGUGGAAUUCCCGGUGUAGCGGUGAAAUGCGUAGAUAUCUGGAGGAACACCGGUGGCGAAGGCGACAUCCUGGACCAACACUGACGCUGAGGAGCGAAAGCCAGGGGAGCAAACGGG